This 496-nucleotide ribosomal RNA is filed under the name uncultured bacterium. RNAcentral's name for it is "partial 16S ribosomal RNA". It matches the Rfam family "Bacterial small subunit ribosomal RNA", at positions 28 to 507 of the family's 1533-position model. The record is from RNAcentral.
GACGAACGCUGGCGGCGUGCCUAAUACAUGCAAGUUGAGCGCUGAAGGUUGGUACUUGUCCCAACUGGAUGAGCAGCGAACGGGUGAGUAACGCGUGGGGAAUCUGCCUUUGAGCGGGGGCAACAUUUGGAAAAGAAUGGUAAUACCGCAUUAAAACUUUAAACACCAGUUUUAAGGUUUAAAAGUGCAAUUUCAUUACCCAAAGGUGAUUCCGCGUUGUAUUAGCUAGUUGGUGAGGUAAAGGCUCACCAAGGCGAUGAUACAUAGCCGACCUGAGAGGGUGAUCGGCCACAUUGGGACUGAGACACGGCCCAAACUCCUACGGGAGGCAGCAGUAGGGAAUCUUCGGCAAUGGACGAAAGUCUGACCGAGCAACGCCGCGUGAGUGAAGAAGGUUUUCGGAUCGUAAAACUCUGUUGGUAGAGAAGAACGUUGGUGAGAGUGGAAAGCUCAUCAAGUGACGGUAACUACCCAGAAAGGGACGGCUAACUACGUG